Molecule: long non-coding RNA, 1947 nt
Organism: Chenopodium quinoa (quinoa)
Lineage: Eukaryota; Viridiplantae; Streptophyta; Magnoliopsida; Caryophyllales; Amaranthaceae
Exons: 3
Source: RefSeq, a predicted model, not a curated record
UUAUUCUGGAAUAAUCAAAAGGUGGACUUAUUUUUAGUAGACGGGCUAAAGGUCGUAUUAUUUUAAGAAAUUUUUCCUUUUAUUUAUUGAUUUUUUUUCGAACAAGGGAAAAGAAAAAACUUAGCUAGUAAAACCCUCAGAUCUCCCAUUACCCCCAAACUUAGUCUAAAAUUUCCCCUAAAAUAAAAAACUCCCGACCCAGAAAAAUUGCCCGCCACUUGCAACUUGAGGACCGUCGGAGUUCCACCAUCUACAACGCCAUCCACCAGCAACGUCCCACUGGAGUUCUUCCGUCCACAAUUGCCCUCUACGCCUUCCACAAUCGCCCACUACCGACCUUCUUUUAACCUAAUUUUUGGAUAGAAUUUCUUUCUCACCGUCGUUUCGCCGUCAGCCACUUCAUCCUCCACCUAUCAUCAGCGGUUCGACCACCUCACUGUCGCUGUCUAAGGGUUUGCCAUGGAAGAAAGUGGCGAUGACUACAGCCAGGAGCGUCAAGAUAUGGAAGAACUUCAACAGGAUGGUGCUACAUCACAACCUAAGCCUAAGAAAAAAGGAAGAGGUCUGUCAAAAGGGGUCCAAACAACAACUCCUACCUUCCUUGAAUUUGAUGAAUUUGGUUUACCUACGGGGCAAUGGGAAUCUGAAUAUGGAAAACAAAUUGGGACUUGUUCCAAAAAAGUUGACAUCAACGUAAGGAAUAUUCAAAUAUGGAUAAGGUGGAGAAGAUAAACCUAUGGGAGGAAACAAAGGUAUAAAUGAUUUAAAUAUGCUUAAUUUGUUGAAUCUAUGUUACCCUUACCUUGCCAAAUACUUUUUUUUUUAUUUUUUUAUUUUUAUGGAGCAGCGAAAGUUCCACAUUGAUGAUCCCGAUGAAGUUAAGGAAAAGUACUUUCAUGUAGUUGUUGGAAACAGAUUUAGGUGACACAAGUCAUGGUUAAAUGCUCGUGACCGAAGCUCCUGCCGAAGAUUCAAUUAAUGCAAAAAUGAAGCCAUGGGAACUUUAUGAGGGUUUCAUCACAGAGGAGUAGUGGAAAGAUUUUAAGGCAUAUUACACAUCAGAAGAAUUCAUGAUAUGUAAAUAUUAGUGUCAAAAUUUUAUAAGAAUGGGAUGACUAUGAAUAUAUUACUAAUAUGGUAAUUACUUAACAGCUUAAAAGUGAAAGGGGGAACGAAAAUGCAAAAAAGAAAAAAAACAAAAAUCGACAUCACUUAGGGCUAAGAAGCUAUGGGAGGGCUCGAGUACACUAGAAAAAGUCAAAUAGACUUCCCCUGGUCUCUGAAUCAUCAACCACGAGCAACACCACUGAAUUAAGUACUAUGACAAUAAGUGAAAGGCUUACGUAUCGUUCUCUUGAAUGGGUCUUAGCACGUCAAAUUGUGUUACCCGAUGGAUCUUAGGGUAUAGUCCUUCAAGAUGUAGAAACUGUUGCAAUUGCAAAAUCAGUAUUAGAGAACAUGAAAAAGAAGGCCUUAGAGGGACAAGAAGGAACAAGUUCAUGUGAAGAGCGAGGCAUUGAUGCCCUAACCUUAGCAUUAGGGAAAAAGGAUAAUCGGGACCAUGCCAAAGGACUUGGAAGGUGUGGGGUUGGUGUUGGCCUUACUAAAGCAUUUGAGAAGCAAGAUCGAAAGGGGAAAAGAUCAAGCCAGAGUAGUUGUUAUGUUAAUGAAUUGGAAGCAAUGAAAGAUUCAUUAACUUAGGAAUUUGAAGCAACACUUGAAGAGAAGGUUGAAGAGAAGUUGCAAAAAAAGGUUGAGUCAACAGGUAGCUGAGGAGAUUUAGACUUAUCUAGCUAAUUUGAUUCCUCGCUUAAACUCAACAUUGCCAAUAAUGCAAUCAAUUAAUGAACAUCAAAUGCCCCUUACAAACGAUCUUAAUCAAAUUAAAGCAUCACGUAUGAUACAGGUAUAUGUGAAAAUAUUGUUAACAAUAUAUCAAGUACACAC